This 422-nucleotide ribosomal RNA is filed under the name Isolapotamon consobrinum. RNAcentral's name for it is "partial 16S ribosomal RNA". The stretch from base 297 to 422 matches the Rfam family "Bacterial large subunit ribosomal RNA", at positions 2473 to 2599 of the family's 2925-position model. The record is from RNAcentral. Lineage: Eukaryota; Metazoa; Arthropoda; Malacostraca; Decapoda; Potamidae.
UUUUUAAUUGAGAUCUUGUAUGAAUGGUUGAACAAAUGAAAUUCUGUCUUUAUAUUAAAUUUGAAUUUAACUUUUAAGUGAAAAGGCUUAAAUAAUCUAAGAAGACGAUAAGACCCUAUAAAACUUUACAUUAAAAUUAAAUGAAAUUAAUUUUUAAAAAUAAAAGUUAGUUUAAUUAUUUGUUAUGUUGGGGAGACAAAUGUUUAAUUUUAAAUAACUGCUUAAAAUAAAAACAAAUAUUUAUGGAUAAAUGAAUGAUCCUUUAAUAUAAAGAUUAAAGAUUAAGUUACUUUAGGGAUAACAGCGUUAUUUUUUUUGAGAGUUCUUAUCGAAAAAAAAGUUUACGACCUCGAUGUUGAAUUAAAGUUACUUUAUAAUGCAGAAGUUAUAAAAGUAGGUCUGUUCGACCUUUAAAUUUUUAC